AAUACAAUGACUGAGUUAUAUGGUAAUCAUGUUUUAUAAGAAAUUGAUAAACUGUUUUCUAAAGAGACUAUACUAUUUUACAUUCCCACCAGAAU
This 95-nucleotide microRNA precursor is filed under the name Marmota monax (woodchuck). Lineage: Eukaryota; Metazoa; Chordata; Mammalia; Rodentia; Sciuridae. The record is from RNAcentral.